RNAcentral lists this ribosomal RNA (331 nucleotides) under uncultured Actinomycetes bacterium. RNAcentral's name for it is "bacterial SSU rRNA". It matches the Rfam family "Bacterial small subunit ribosomal RNA", at positions 28 to 351 of the family's 1533-position model. The record is from RNAcentral. Lineage: Bacteria; Bacillati; Actinomycetota; Actinomycetes.
GACGAACGCUGGCGGCGUGCCUAAUACAUGCAAGUCGAGCGGGGUCCAACCAGUGGCAACACUGGGGACGACCUAGCGGCGAACGGGUGAGUAACACGUGAGGAACCUGCCCCGAAGUCUGGGAUAACUCGAGGAAACUCGUGCUAAUACCGGAUGCCCCCAUCUGAUCGCAUGGUCGGAUGGGGAAAGUCUUUUCGCUUCGGGAGGGCCUCGCGGCCUAUCAGCUAGUUGGUGGGGUAACGGCCCACCAAGGCAUCGACGGGUAGCUGGUCUGAGAGGACGAUCAGCCACACUGGGACUGAGACACGGCCCAGACUCCUACGGGUGGCUG